CCUCCUCUCGGCUACGGGCGCCUCCAUGGGGCGGACCCCCGAAGCGGGAGCCCCAGUCGGUGGACUCCUCGAAAAGGCCCGGGGGGCCGUAGGUUCGGCGUCCGAGGGAAUGUCGAUCGCCGGAGCGCCUGGACGGGCGUGGCCAAGCUCGACUCCUCCGCCCUGGCCCUUUUAGCCGAUCCGACGGUCGCGGCACCCUUUCUUUUGUGGGCCUUG
RNAcentral lists this long non-coding RNA (216 nucleotides) under Elaeis guineensis (African oil palm). Its description in RNAcentral is "long non-coding RNA (EGUI_LNC067240)". Lineage: Eukaryota; Viridiplantae; Streptophyta; Magnoliopsida; Arecales; Arecaceae. The record is from RNAcentral.